Long non-coding RNA from Lolium perenne, 1492 nucleotides. RefSeq lists it as uncharacterized. The record is from RefSeq and is a predicted model, not a curated record. NCBI's taxonomy places the organism in Eukaryota, Viridiplantae, Streptophyta, Magnoliopsida, Poales, Poaceae.
CCGAUCUAUCAGCCUCCUCCUCACCGCCUCGUCUCCCACCGCCGCACCCCUUCCUCUCAUUGGCUCUUCCUCCUCCUUCGAUGUCCUCACUAUCCGGGCGCAUCUCUACUCGGCUGCCCUUGCCAGUGUCGCCGAGGGGAAGCCGGCGGUCCUUGUCGGAGGAAUUAUGGGCGGCAGAUCAACGCAACUUGCGCUCGGCGGCCUGCUCUGAUUGAGGUACUGACGGGGCUGUGGAACAAGAACCCAUCCGACUCCAUACCUGCGCCGGAGAUCGAGAGAAUCAGACGCACGUCCGACUGCCAGGUCCCAGCACCCAGCCGCCUCCAUCGCCAUGGCCUAGGGUUUCUUCAUUCCGUGUUGACGUCGUUGUCUUGCCGCCGCCAUUCAUGUGUCGCUGCUGUCAUGCGAUACUUAUGUUUGCCCCCAGCUGUUGCUUCCUCGAUUCAAACAACCAGAUUAAAUCCCGUCUACUCCUGUGUGCUUGUAAUGGGCGAACUGAAUACCGUGCACUGAAGAUUUGGGUUUGGCGCUAUCUACAGGGAGACAUGGAUUACAUGACUAAUUUGUUUGCUUUGCAAUUAUUGUGCCUACGAGAUGUGGUUUGAUGCUACCAAUUCCUUGUCACUUUCUGCUAAUCUUUUGUAUUCAACAUUCCAUGCCAGGUCUCCCGUUCAUGAAUCUGCAUAACUGAAUCUGAAAAGUCGAUAUGUAAUCAGAAGAGACGUGCGAAGGACUGGAGGUGAUUCGAGACAGCAACACGAGCAGAAUAGGAAGUGCUACUCGAUGCUGUAUCCUAAUAUUGCACUUUCUGUGUGUAUAUGAUCAACUAGUGCACAACAAGGUUAUUUCUCAUAGCUUCUUGCUUAUUAUCCUAUGAUCUAGAUGUGUAUACUGCAGAGCAUAAUUGUACACAUCGGAAAACCGUUAUUUUUGCUUGUCGUUUGACAACCUGCAUGAGUUUUUGUUGGAAUACAUGUUUACCUUAAUUUAUUGCUUAGUAGCAUCCUGUUGUCGACUUGGAUCACUCCUACAGAAUUUAUAUGCAUUAGUUUUGAUUUAAUGACUUUGCUGCACAUUGAGUAUCCAAUGCUAGAUGAUCUGCACAAAGGUUCUAAUAAUGGAUUUCACAUUGGCAUGUUUGAGUUUGUAGCAGAAGAAGGCAUGUUCAUUAUGCCCUACCGGGCAAUCAGAUAUUGUGAGUUGUAUAUCUGGAGCAUUGGAAAAAUUUCGCAAGGGCACAAGUAAUAUAAUGAAGGGAUAUUCUGCAAUCAGCGUCCAGGCCAUGGGGAAGAAGGCAUAAUAGAUAAUUUUAUUUUUAUUUCUUAGAUUAGAUUAAGGUAUGAGUAAACCUGUGCCACGAAAUUUGUGGAUAACAGGUUGAUCUAAUGUCCAUUUUGUAAUUUGUAUCAAGCCGAUGUAUGUAACUCAGAUUGGAUGUAUCUAACUCAGAUUGGAUUUAUAAAUUUUAAUUAAAAAAGGUUAAUAAUUUAUU